ACAUUUUGAUGGAAGUUUUCAAAUUUUACUUCUAAAACCUGUAAUUUUCCCAAAUGUGGGAAACUUGACUGCACAAUUUGUGGUAGUAGGGCACUGUGUGCUCUCCCCUGU
Molecule: small nuclear RNA, 111 nt
Organism: Marmota marmota marmota (Alpine marmot)
Lineage: Eukaryota; Metazoa; Chordata; Mammalia; Rodentia; Sciuridae
Gene: U1
Rfam family: U1 spliceosomal RNA
About the family: U1 is a small nuclear RNA (snRNA) component of the spliceosome (involved in pre-mRNA splicing).
Source: Ensembl